Molecule: ribosomal RNA, 253 nt
Filed under: uncultured bacterium
Lineage: Bacteria
Description: partial 16S ribosomal RNA
Rfam family: Bacterial small subunit ribosomal RNA
Source: RNAcentral
CACGUAGGGGGCGAGCGUUGUCCGGAAUCAUUGGGCGUAAAGCGCGCGUAGGCGGCCCUGUAAGUCCGUUGUGAAAGUCAAAGGCUCAACCUUUGAAUGCCGAUGGAUACUGCAGGGCUAGAGUCCGGAAGAGGCGAGUGGAAUUCCUGGUGUAGCGGUGGAAUGCGCAGAUAUCAGGAGGAACACCAACGGCGAAGGCAGCUCGCUGGGACGGUACUGACGCUAAGGCGCGAAAGCCAGGGGAGCAAACGGG